This 1358-nucleotide ribosomal RNA is filed under the name uncultured bacterium. RNAcentral's name for it is "bacterial SSU rRNA". It matches the Rfam family "Bacterial small subunit ribosomal RNA". The record is from RNAcentral.
AGAGUUUGAUUCUGGCUCAGGACGAACGCUGGCGGCGCGCCUAACACAUGCAAGUCGAACGAGCGAGAGAGAGCUUGCUUUCUCGAGCGAGUGGCGAACGGGUGAGUAACGCGUGAGGAAUCUGCCUCAAAGAGGGGGACAACAGUUGGAAACGACUGCUAAUACCGCAUAAGCCCACGGUGCCGCAUGGCACAGAGGGAAAAGGAGUAAUCCGCUUUGAGAUGGCCUCGCGUCCGAUUAGCUAGUUGGUGAGGUAACGGCCCACCAAGGCGACGAUCGGUAGCCGGACUGAGAGGUUGAACGGCCACAUUGGGACUGAGACACGGCCCAGACUCCUACGGGAGGCAGCAGUGGGGAAUAUUGCACAAUGGGGGAAACCCUGAUGCAGCGACGCCGCGUGGAGGAAGAAGGUCUUCGGAUUGUAAACUCCUGUUGUUGGGGAAGAUAAUGACGGUACCCAACAAGGAAGUGACGGCUAACUACGUGCCAGCAGCCGCGGUAAAACGUAGGUCACAAGCGUUGUCCGGAAUUACUGGGUGUAAAGGGAGCGCAGGCGGGAAGACAAGUUGGAAGUGAAAUCUAUGGGCUCAACCCAUAAACUGCUUUCAAAACUGUUUUUCUUGAGUAGUGCAGAGGUAGGCGGAAUUCCCGGUGUAGCGGUGGAAUGCGUAGAUAUCGGGAGGAACACCAGUGGCGAAGGCGGCCUACUGGGCACCAACUGACGCUGAGGCUCGAAAGUGUGGGUAGCAAACAGGAUUAGAUACCCUGGUAGUCCACACCGUAAACGAUGAUUACUAGGUGUUGGAGGAUUGACCCCUUCAGUGCCGCAGUUAACACAAUAAGUAAUCCACCUGGGGAGUACGACCGCAAGGUUGAAACUCAAAGGAAUAGACGGGGGCCCGCACAAGCAGUGGAGUAUGUGGUUUAAUUCGACGCAACGCGAAGAACCUUACCAAGUCUUGACAUCCCUUGACAGACAUAGAAAUAUGUAAUCUCUUCGGAGCAAGGAGACAGGUGGUGCAUGGUUGUCGUCAGCUCGUGUCGUGAGAUGUUGGGUUAAGUCCCGCAACGAGCGCAACCCUUAUGGUCAGUUACUACGCAAGAGGACUCUGGCCAGACUGCCGUUGACAAAACGGAGGAAGGUGGGGAGGACGUCAAAUCAUCAUGCCCUCUAUGACUUGGGCUACACACGUACUACAAUGGCGUUAAACAAAGAGAAGCAAGACCGCGAGGUGGAGCAAAACUCAGAAACAACGUCCCAGUUCGGACUGCAGGCUGCAACUCGCCUGCACGAAGUCGGAAUUGCUAGUAAUCGUGGAUCAGCAUGCCACGGUGAAUAAGUUCCCGGGCCUUGCACA